AUCUAUCCUUCUCCUGUAAACUCUCUUCUUCUCUCAAUUCUACUCACAGAUCUACACAAAAAUUACACUGAAUACCUCUCUGGAAGUUUGGGAUAUUACACUUGGAUGACAAAGCAAUCUCUUUAAUACGUGGACUUUGGUAUGUUCUUUCUGUUCUAAACUUUUGAUGAAUAUGAUAAGUGUGAAUGAUUAAUGUAGCACGUCUAUUCAUUGAACAUGGAACAGGCAUCUAAAAGACCAUUCCAGAAUACCUGAGAUUAACAAAUCUCUUGUUUUGUAAUUUUAUGAUGCAUGCAGCCACAUAUAUUGAGGAUGUUCUCUGGUGUUGGCACAUUUACAUGUGAUGUUGGAGGGUGUAUGAUUCACAAUCGUAGU
RNAcentral lists this long non-coding RNA (375 nucleotides) under Elaeis guineensis (African oil palm). Its description in RNAcentral is "long non-coding RNA (EGUI_LNC022147)". The record is from RNAcentral. Lineage: Eukaryota; Viridiplantae; Streptophyta; Magnoliopsida; Arecales; Arecaceae.